Molecule: ribosomal RNA, 253 nt
Filed under: uncultured bacterium
Lineage: Bacteria
Description: partial 16S ribosomal RNA
Rfam family: Bacterial small subunit ribosomal RNA
Source: RNAcentral
UACGUAGGGGGCAAGCGUUGUCCGGAUUUAUUGGGCGUAAAGAGCUCGUAGGCGGUUCCGUAAGUCGAGUGUGAAAAAUCUGGGCUCAACCCAGUGGAGCACUCGAUACUGCGGUGACUAGAGUACGGUAGAGGAGUGUGGAAUUCCUGGUGUAGCGGUGAAAUGCGCAGAUAUCAGGAGGAACACCGGUGGCGAAGGCGGGUCUCUGGGCCGAUACUGACGCUGGGGAGCGAAAGCGUGGGGAGCGAACAGG